AAAAAUGAUCACAACUGUGCUAUUGUAUGAAUCUUGUAGCAAAAUUUUUCAUAAUAUGUAGUGUUUAUACAUGAAAUAACAGUUAAUGGAAUGGGCAAAAGUACAACAAGCUCUGGAGAUCAGCUCUACAAGAAAUUGUUCUAUGCUGACCAGAUGUAGGACAAGUACUCAAAAAAAUAAAAAAAAUAAAAAUUUCUGUAGUGCUACCCUGACCAAAAAGGUAAAAAUAAAUAACCUCAUAGUGUUGGCAAAGACCCAUAGAACCACCCUCGUCUACCAUCUCACCUAGAGAAGUGAGUGAAUAAAAAGAAAAUAAAGCCCUAAGACACAAUAAAGUUAUACACAUUUGCAAAUGAAUGCAUUUAACAAUUGGGCUUGUUGGAACUGCUGUAAAUAGAAAACUUGAUCUCAAAGCAACAGUAGAGGGGAUUGAUAUCACUUGCAUAUAACCUCCAAAUGAUUCCCCUGAGGAAGCAGCAAACCAAAUAUCUUCUAAAAGUACUUUCCUGCUGCUGUUUGGUUAUCUGAUUUACCCGCUAAAUCAUAAUGCUAUUGCGUGUUAGCUACUGCAUGAAUCUGCAAUGGAAUCAUAUUCAGAUGGUGAGCUCCUUAAAAGCCUCCAGCUUUCCAUUUGAUGAAACGGAAUCUGCAAUUUUGCCACCUCCAGGAAGGCUUGCACUACCAUUCUCAUGGUUCUUGCCUAUCUGAUUGUACACUGAGUUGGGCAUGGCAGAGCUGCAUUUGCCUUCAAAGUAUGUAGAGUAGGGGAAGUAAUCGGCACAGCGCACCUUCCACCUUGAUGCAGCAUCAUGGUCAGUGAGAGCUGUUUCUAGUAGUUUGUGGACUGCAAUGCAGUCUUUGAGCUUCCAUCCCUUGACCGGUCCGAGUGCUCCAUUUACUGGCACAAGGUUGUUGGCUGAAUCUUCAAUUAAUUUAAUAGCAUCGGAUUUCUUGUUAGGUUCUAAAACAUAUUGCAUCUCUGCAACUGCAGCUCUAUGCAUCAAAGAAUCUUUGUGUUUUUCAAGGAAAAACUUGUUUGCCUCAAUCAGAGAUUUCUCAUGCAAUUCACUGAUUGAUGGUCGUUCUGCUUCCAAGACACGCCAAAUAAGUUUCUCUGUAUCCAUCACUGGAGCAGUCAUUGAUCCCACUUUAUGGAAAAAUCUUAUCAAGCAGCAAUGAGAAUCAGGGUUUUCAGCAUCCAACCUUAGCAAUUGCUUUACAGCCUGUAGAGCAAGCAAAAUUUUUUGCUUUCUCAUAUUUACUUCAAACGAAAGCAAGUGAGUCUCCAAAGAGUCAGAUGAGUUCUUCUGAAGCAGUUUCAAGUACUUUGUAGCUUCCAAUAAUGGAUCUUCAACCUGCAAUAACUUUUCCCCAUUUGGAUCUGGAUCUGCAGGUUUGACAUGUCGCUUUCCUGACUUAGAGACACCACUAGCACUUGAUUCUUCGUUCUUUACCUCUGCCUCUCUCUUAGCUCGAGCUUCUGCCCUUUUCAGUUUUUGUCUCUUUUUCUUUUUCUGAGAAGGCAGCAACUUUGACAUUUCAUCAUCCUCUUCAGUUGCCAACUUAGAGGGAGAAUCAUGCAAUUUUAUGUAACAUCUGAUAGCUCCGGCAGCUGCUUUAUGAAAAUAUGCAUUCGAAUGUAACCUAUCUUGAAAUUUAAGCAUUGCCACAUAGGCACGUAAAGUCAUUUUCCUUAAGCAAUAGGAAUGGAAGUCAAAUUGAUCCUCAGUAAUAUCAGCGUAGUGCUUCUCCACAGCUAAAAAUUUCUUCAGAGCCCGUCCAAGAUCACCUUGGCGGAAGUAACUCUCACCAGAAGCAAGUUCAUACCACAUGCACUGCAUGUCAUGAAGGUUAUUAUGCUGAUCCCCAUCUUUGGUAAAUAACAGAGCAGUUUUUUCUGCCAAAACCACCUGAUCAGCCUGCAGCAUACGUUUGACACAUUCACUAUUUAUAUAGCGAUCAGCAAGAUCCAUGCAUCUUGCUUCAUCUGCCAAUGCUGAAGCUGCUGCCAAAUCACCAGCAUGCUUCAAAAUCCGGCUCUUGACCGAGUACAAAUCAAUCACAGUUGGAGUGUGUUCUAUAGCCUCAUCAAUUUUGGUUAGAGCAAUUUCAUAUUGUCUCCGCCUGUCAUAAUGCUGAGCCAAGAAAAAUAAUGUCCACAUAAGUGUUGAAGGAGGUUCUUUGUCUGUCCUCCUCGGGUAUCUCCCAGUCAAUCUAAUUGAAUGCUCCAACUCAAGAAUAAGUUUUUCCAGUAUGUCUGCCUUGCCAGCAUGGUCAUACAAGGGAGAAAGAUCCGAGAAUAAUGAAGGAACACCCUUGGUAAGGAGGGGCCUAAUAUAAUUGUCUGCAGCUUCAUAAAACUUGUCUCCUUGGAGAAAAUCAAGCGGUAUUCUCUUAACAGCAGAUGACCAAGUAUACUGCUGCCCAAGAGAUUUGUACAAGCCAUCCAACUUAUCAAUUUCAUCAGCAGAAUAGCGGCCAUUUUCUGAAUACAGCCCAACACAUUUUUGCAGACCUUCAUAAUAUCUGUAAUUGUCAGGAUUCAUGGCAAGUAACACCCUGUAUAACUCAGCUGCCUCUUCAAGGCGACCAAGCUUCACCAGUAGAGAAACUUCCUGUUCUUUGUAUGCCAACUUAUCAACCUGAGUCCAUAUCAAGCACUAAUUAUCAGCAUCUGUUCAGAGUUAUUAAGGUUAACUAUCACGUACUUACAAUUUUUGACCCUUUCUUGUGCAAUUCCUCAAGAGCUCUCUCAAGAGAGCCACAUUCCUCUAAUAAAGAGAUCUGGAGGUAAAAGAAAAUGGCAGAUAUAUAACCAUCAAUAAACUGCUGAGAUGUCUCAAGGGAAUUUCACAUGCACCACUAGCUCAUAUGGUCAGUCCUAACAAGGAAAGGCAAGAACUCAAUACUUUAAAAAAGAAAAAAAAAAUCCAUACUAUUUGAGUUAUCUGUGGUAAUUGACAAAAAAAUUGCACAAGAAUCACUGUGAAAGGCAGUAAGCUUAGAAGUGAAAAAUGACUUCUUCAAACUCAAGUGAAAGCGAUUUGUGUUAAAAUAUGUGCAUGAAAGAAUAUGUUUGAGUUGCAAAAACGCUUCUCCGAUCCAAAUUCCAUUCCAUCAAUGUAAUUUUUUGCACUGUUCUUUCAUAAUUAAAGCCACAAUAUUAGCCAACUCAUCUUACCUAUUCAACCUGUGUCAUCCCAUCUGCCAAAUUCAAUUUUAAGUUCUGUAUUCACAUAGAGCGAUUUAGGAAAUUGACUAACAAACCUCCCAUUACAGAGAAAAAGAAACUUUAUUCAAAUCUAACAUGCUUGAAAUUCAAGUUUCAAAUACCCAAGAAUGAUAAUUGUCAAGCACUUGAAAACUUCAGGCAACAUGCAUUGAAAUUUAUAAAUAAAUAAAUUAGGCCAAGGGAAAAAAAGGUCCAAGCAAGUUACUCAGUCCAAGACAUGCAUCAGUUUAGCCAAUAGUUAGGCUGCCCUUAGAAUCAGCCCAUACUAGCAGCUCAAGAAAAUGAGUAAAAUCAAACACCAGGCUCUCAAAUCUACACACAUAGUUAAACCCACAAUGAAGUAAAUGCACAUCACAGUGCAAAUAAGAAAACUAGAAGCUGAGCAUUCCUUGUAAUAUUAAUAAAUGACAUGGUUUUGCUUCAGCCAGUUUCUUCAACAUUCCAAGACACUAAAGCUAACAAGCCAAAGCUUGAGAUAAAUUACUUAAUAAAUGUGCAAACAUUAUCGUUUCAGCAAAAGAUUGCAUCUAUGCACAUCACAGUUUUGCCAGGACAAAGAGCAUAGCAAAUAAACAGGACGUCAUUUGCGCAACUGCACUGUGCAAUAUCAACACCACAUUGGGCAAAAGAAAAUUAUCAAUAUUAAGCUUCACCCUCAAAUCAAAUCUCCCAGCUUCUACAGAUUUAGUUAUGCCAGACUAGAACAGCCUAACUCAUAACAGACUGGAACAGGAAACCAUUCUUAAUGCUAUCAUUGCAGUCAUUAAAACUGCCAUUCUGGAUUUCAUUUAACAGAUAAGAACAGAGGAAAUUCACAACAAAGAAUUCUAACAUGAAACACCUGACAAGUGAAAAGAUGCAUGAG
RNAcentral lists this unclassified non-coding RNA (4097 nucleotides) under Hevea brasiliensis (rubber tree). Lineage: Eukaryota; Viridiplantae; Streptophyta; Magnoliopsida; Malpighiales; Euphorbiaceae. The record is from RNAcentral.